GGGGUUGUAGCUCAAUGGUAGAGCGCUUGCCUCAUAUGUGUGAGGCAUGAGGUUUGACCCUCAGCACCA
This 69-nucleotide transfer RNA is filed under the name Ictidomys tridecemlineatus (thirteen-lined ground squirrel). RNAcentral's name for it is "Spermophilus tridecemlineatus (thirteen-lined ground squirrel) tRNA". It matches the Rfam family "tRNA". From Rfam's summary of the family: Transfer RNA (tRNA) molecules are approximately 80 nucleotides in length. Their secondary structure includes four short double-helical elements and three loops (D, anti-codon, and T loops). Lineage: Eukaryota; Metazoa; Chordata; Mammalia; Rodentia; Sciuridae. The record is from Rfam by way of RNAcentral.